UGGGGAAUAUUGCACAAUGGGCGCAAGCCUGAUGCAGCCAUGCCGCGUGUAUGAAGAAGGCCUUCGGGUUGUAAAGUACUUUCAGUCGGGAGGAAGGUGUCAAGGUUAAUAACCUUGGCAAUUGACGUUACCGACAUAAGAAGCACCGGCUAACUCCGUUCCAGCAGCCGCGGUAAUACGGAGGGUGCAAGCGUUAAUCGGAAUUACUGGGCGUAAAGCGCACGCAGGCGGUUGAUUGACUCAGAUGUGAAAUCCCCGGGCUUAACCCGGGAAUUGCAUCUGAUACUGGUCAGCUAGAGUCUUGUAGAGGAGGGUAGGAUUCCAUGUGUAGCGGUGAAAUGCGUAGAGAUGUGGAGGAAUACCGGUGGCGAAGGCGGCCCCCUGGACAAAGACUGACGCUCAGGUGCGAAAGCGUGGGGAGCAAACAGG
RNAcentral lists this ribosomal RNA (429 nucleotides) under Chloroflexota bacterium. RNAcentral describes it as "Chloroflexi bacterium partial 16S ribosomal RNA". It matches the Rfam family "Bacterial small subunit ribosomal RNA", at positions 355 to 776 of the family's 1533-position model. Lineage: Bacteria; Bacillati; Chloroflexota. The record is from RNAcentral.